This 468-nucleotide ribosomal RNA is filed under the name uncultured bacterium. Its description in RNAcentral is "partial 16S ribosomal RNA". It matches the Rfam family "Bacterial small subunit ribosomal RNA", at positions 28 to 507 of the family's 1533-position model. The record is from RNAcentral.
GACGAACGUCGGCGGCGUGCUUAACACAUGCAAGUCGAACGGAAAGGCCCUGCUUUUGUGGGGUGCUCGAGUGGCGAACGGGUGAGUAACACGUGAGUAACCUGCCCUUGACUUUGGGAUAACUUCAGGAAACUGGGGCUAAUACCGGAUAGGAGCUCCUGCUGCAUGGUGGGGGUUGGAAAGUUUCGGCGGUUGGGGAUGGACUCGCGGCUUAUCAGCUUGUUGGUGGGGUAGUGGCUUACCAAGGCUUUGACGGGUAGCCGGCCUGAGAGGGUGACCGGCCACAUUGGGACUGAGAUACGGCCCAGACUCCUACGGGAGGCAGCAGUGGGGAAUAUUGCACAAUGGGCGGAAGCCUGAUGCAGCAACGCCGCGUGCGGGAUGACGGCCUUCGGGUUGUAAACCGCUUUCGCCUGUGACGAAGCGUGAGUGACGGUAAUGGGUAAAGAAGCACCGGCUAACUACGUG